UGAACGCUGGCGGCGUGCCUAAUACAUGCAAGUCGAGCGAACAGACGAGGAGCUUGCUCCUCUGACGUUAGCGGUGGACGGGUGAGUAACACGUGGAUAACCUACCUAUAAGACUGGGAUAACUUCGGGAAACCGGAGCUAAUACCGGAUAAUAUAUUGAACCGCAUGGUUCAAUAGUGAAAGACGGUUUUGCUGUCACUUAUAGAUGGAUCCGCGCCGCAUUAGCUAGUUGGUAAGGUAACGGCUUACCAAGGCAACGAUGCGUAGCCGACCUGAGAGGGUGAUCGGCCACACUGGAACUGAGACACGGUCCAGACUCCUACGGGAGGCAGCAGUAGGGAAUCUUCCGCAAUGGGCGAAAGCCUGACGGAGCAACGCCGCGUGAGUGAUGAAGGUCUUCGGAUCGUAAAACUCUGUUAUUAGGGAAGAACAAAUGUGUAAGUAACUAUGCACGUCUUGACGGUACCUAAUCAGAAAGCCACGGCUAACUACGUG
Molecule: ribosomal RNA, 495 nt
Filed under: uncultured bacterium
Lineage: Bacteria
Description: partial 16S ribosomal RNA
Rfam family: Bacterial small subunit ribosomal RNA
Source: RNAcentral